Molecule: long non-coding RNA, 1205 nt
Organism: Varroa destructor (honeybee mite)
Lineage: Eukaryota; Metazoa; Arthropoda; Arachnida; Mesostigmata; Varroidae
Source: RefSeq, a predicted model, not a curated record
AGCCAUUGGCUGUUCGCUACCUAAGACUUCACGCUGAAAACAGACAGUUUUCGAAUUUAUCGAUUCAAUAAGGCGUUCGUAUUAAGCUGCCGGUUAGUACAGAUCGACGACGAAGUGAAGUUCGUAUUGUCGGAACGGCAAUAAAAAACGCGUAGCUUACUGUAGUGGCUGAAUGAGGCGGAUCAUAGAAGCUAAACUACGUGUCUAUAAUUUCGAGUGCAGGUGUUAAUGCAGAACCCGAUUUUUUCCGGUGUUACAAUGAGCGUCAACAAGGAACAACAAAAAACACAGCCAAACGACUGCCACGGAAAAGGGGCCGACAACGCCCCAGCAAACAGCGACCACAGCGAAUGUUGUAAUACGUUAACUAUAUGUGACAAUUUAAAGAAUAACAACAAUGAGGAUGAUAGCAUUGAUGAUGUCCACAAAGGACAACAACGACUGACGUCUACGAAUAGCAAAAAGCAAGGAUCACUGAAACUCGAAAAACAGUUAGAGGAGUGGAAUAGUAGUGAUCGAAGCUGUGCGGCGGAGAACUCGAGUGACGUCGAUGUGAAUUGGCUAUGCGUCAUCAUAGAUCUGGACGGCUACGAUGUGGAGGCCAAUCUUAGAUACGUCCAUAGGGAUUCGGCGGAUCCGCCUAUUAGCGUUGAACCAUUCAGUAGACCGUACCACAAACGACGCCAUUCAUUUGUCGGCUCCGAAGAAGUAUUUUGAAUAGCAAUCAUUGCCACAUUGUGACUAUUGUGCAUCAGCAUGCUCGCUCGUUUCUACAUGUACACCUUUUCAGAUAAGCAGAUUAAAAGACUAUAGUCAUUGAAUAUCUAUUUCAAUGAACAACUCGUGUGGAAAGCCUAAUGGUCGGCGAAACUCAACGGUUUAACGGAUUUCCAUAAGCGGAUUUUCUAGAAUUUUGAGUGCCAGUGAGCAGUAAAUGCAGUUAAUUACUGAGUAUGAUAUCACUGCAGAAUCAAUUGAUGUGAUAUUAAUAUUGUUUUUCUUUGGACGUAAACGUCCGGGAUCUCUACAUCACUAUUUUAGUAGCUGCAGGGUCAUACGUUAGUAGUGUUGAUGACGCCCCGGCAGGUUGUUGAAAGAAAGACUUUCUGUUUUGUGUACAUUGUGGAUAAUGUUGUAUAAAUAAAUGCAGAAGUUUUUCACCAAGCUCAUACAUAAACGCUGUCAAAAAUCGUUCUUCGAAAUUA